Molecule: transfer RNA, 73 nt
Filed under: Camelus bactrianus (Bactrian camel)
Lineage: Eukaryota; Metazoa; Chordata; Mammalia; Artiodactyla; Camelidae
Also listed under: 2 other names
Rfam family: tRNA
About the family: Transfer RNA (tRNA) molecules are approximately 80 nucleotides in length.
Source: Rfam by way of RNAcentral
GGGUAUAUAGCUCAGUGGUAGAGCGCAUGCUUAUUUAGCAUGCGUGAGAUCCUGGGUUCAAUCCCUAGUCCCU